This 289-nucleotide ribosomal RNA is filed under the name uncultured Planctomycetales bacterium. Its description in RNAcentral is "partial 16S ribosomal RNA". Lineage: Bacteria; Pseudomonadati; Planctomycetota; Planctomycetia; Planctomycetales. The record is from RNAcentral.
CUACCCGGGUAUCUAAUCCCGUUUGCUCCCCUGGCUUUCGCGCCUCAGCGUCAGAAGAGAUCCAGGAGCUCGCUUUCGCCACCGGAGUUCCUUCCAAUAUCAACGCAUUUCACCGCUCCACUGGAAGUUCCAGCUCCCCCUAUCUCCCUCCAGUCCAUCAGUAUCCCAGGCACUUUUCCGGUUAAGCCGAAAGAUUUCACCCCAGACUUGAUGGACCGCCUACGCGCCCUUUAAGCCCAGUGAUUCCGAACAACGUUCGCACGGUUCGUCUUACCGCGGCGGCUGGCAC